UGGGAGUGGGCGUGGCCUGUGACGUUCAUUGUAAAAUAACGCGCUAACUGACAAACAAACAAACAAACAAACCGAAGUGAUAGACUGAAAACAGCCAUCGUGGCGAGAGUAACUACAACUCAAACCAAAGUGGCUGAAAGCCCAUGUGAGAUUUAACCGCUGAUUCAUUCAUCAGGGCCCACCUGUUCACAGCAGGAGGAAGCGCGUGUCAUCCAGGUGACAGGUUUUCCCAUCUACCUUGCUGACAAGGCCGAGCGUCUUUGUCCAUCGUCCGAGUGGGGGUUUUGUGUCCGGCGGUGAAACCUUCAGGCUGUCGGAGGAGAAUGUCGAGGUUAAGGCUGCGCAGUGAAGCACUGUACCUGAGUCCUCUGCAUCCUGAUCCUCAAUGAGACCCUCGGGAACUCCCAUCUCCAUGCAUUUCUUACUGUGAGCCUUGGAUUUCAUAUGCUUGGUCAGAUUUCCUGCAAGAAGAGAAGCAUUAAGGUCUUAUGGGUGGGUAGCGCUUGAACAAUAGCACAGAAGGAGUUUAUGUAAGAAAAUGUGGUCUCUGGGCGAACUGUAUGUAAAGAGUGAGUAACUGAUAAAGACAUUUUUAAAUGAACGUGGGCUGCUCUGACACCAAGUACUGUUCUGCAGUGUGGCGUGGGUAGGCAAGUUCGAUAGAGAAUGGUGAAUCAUACUGACUUGGUUUAAGAGAUGGUGAAACAACAUCUUUAAUUUCAUGGCUGCUGAAAGAAAGAAAUGAACUGCAGCAGUUCAAGGCUUUUACGUUAAAAAUAUAUUGUCUGUCUGUCUAUAUUAAUUUGAUUUUGAGAGAUCCAUUGUUGUUUUACAUCUCGAUCAUUACAUGAACUUUAUUUAUGUGAGCUGAGAAUAUAUUCCUGAUUAUUUUUUAUAUUUAUAUUUUUUCAAGUUCAUAUGAUCUUCUAUAAUAGCACACUAUUAUAUAUUUCACUAAGCACUGAGACUCACACACAAUAUAAAAUAAAGAAGAUUAAUCAGAAACUUCUUGGUUGAUGGGAAAAUGUUUGUUUGAUAGUAAACUUUAUUUCGGUUUUUUCACAACUUGUAGAUAAAAAACAAAUAUAUGUACUCAAAUGAGGACGUAUUAGCUUUAGACUUGCGGCUUUGAAAACUUAUCAGCUACUAACCUUUCGUCUUAAAGGAGAAGUUGCAGUGGACACAGUGGUAUGGCCGG
Scatophagus argus is the source of this 1198-nucleotide long non-coding RNA. RefSeq lists it as uncharacterized. The transcript has 3 exons. The record is from RefSeq and is a predicted model, not a curated record. Lineage: Eukaryota; Metazoa; Chordata; Actinopteri; Scatophagidae.